Molecule: long non-coding RNA, 4259 nt
Filed under: Marmota monax (woodchuck)
Lineage: Eukaryota; Metazoa; Chordata; Mammalia; Rodentia; Sciuridae
Source: RNAcentral
GACUGGUGGCUGGAUGGGUGGAUGGAUGAGAGGAUGAAGGACAGAGGGUGAUAAGCGGUGGGUGUGGGCCUGGUGGAGGGCUGCUGCAUGGCCAGGUGGAGGACGUCUGUAGCGGGGUUGACAAGAUGCCUGUGGACACCUCUAAGCCGAGGGAGCUGCGUCCUCGGCUGUCGCCGGGAGCUCUGCUCAUGUGCCCUUGCUCCCUCUCAGCUCCGGCCCCCUGGGCCCAACACGCAGCAGUCGGGGGCCUCUACCUUCCCCUCUGAGCGGCCCGCCAGCCCCUGCUCUGGGAGGAAGGGUAGUGACAGCUCCUGCGGGAAUGUCACAGCAGUGGUGUCACUGGUGUCCUUUGCUGGCCACCUGGGAAGGCUGGGGCGGCUGGCUGGCCUUCUUUGCCCUAAGAGAAGAGAACCUCCUCUCCAGACCCUCCUGUUUGCCCCCUUCUCCCCCGUCUGGUCUCUUCCCCUGAUUCAAGCCCAGCCCCCAGCUCAUGCCGUGGGCUGUGGUCCGCUCAGGCGCUGGCAGUGUGGACGCCGCUCUGCUCGGCUCCUCCCUCCUUCCUCCUCCUCGCCCCCACCCCAGCACUGACCGCAGGCAUCCCCCCACCAGCUCUUAGGAAAGUGGUAUAUAAUCUGCUGGGCUGGGACCAUCCCCAUCCCCCGGGAGAAGCGCCAGGAGCCCCUGCCUCCCUUCCACUUUGUGGUGAGCCACAACGGGCAGCUGCAGUUCAGGAUGCACAUACGGUGAGUGGCCUCCCCUCCCCUCCCGAAGCCACCCCUUGCUAACUGGCCACUGGACUCAGGCUUCACCCCUGCCUGCGGCCUAGAGGUGGGCACAGCCCCGUGGGGUUGGUUUCAACUUCCGUCCUUAAUGUGGUGGUCACCAAGAGGUGCUGCCGUGCUGGGAGGGUGUGGUGCAGGUGUGCGGAGGCCAGUCUCCUCAGACCUGGCAAAAGCCCAGCCCCGCAGGUGCCGGGGAGGCGGGGCUUAAGGCCUCCAGAAAGCUAGGAAGGGACCGCUGGAACCGACUUGGGGCUAGAUGCUGCUGAGGCAGACAGGGAACUAGGAGGGUCUUCCCUGUAGGAGCCACGGCCAGCCCCAUCCUCUCCCCCACUGCAGCCGCUGCAGUGGGAAGGACAGGAGAGGCUAUGUCACACCCUGAUGGCUCAGGGCCUGCUCAGGGUCCUGCUGAACCGCGUCCACAAGCCGAGCUCCCAUCUAGCAGGCGCCCUUGGUGCAAUUCUGAAAGUCCCCCACUGAGGGCUCCGGGGCAGGCAAGCUGGCCGUUGACCACCCAUCACGUGUUGUCACAUCCCACGAAUAAACACUCAGGGUCACUCCAGGUGAACUGGCUGCCAGAAAUAACCACACAGAGACGGAGAAACAUCUUUUUCUUUGGGUCGUGUGACGGCUCCUCCAACCUUAGGAGUCUGUGGAAAGAGAGAGUGACCCCUUUUAUUGGGGAGAAGCCAUUCAAAUGAGGCAAGGGGUCAGGGGUCAGGGGGUUGAGUCCAGCUUCCUGAUGUCUGCUGUCAGCGGUUGACUGACACCUGGGGAGGCCACGCCCAUCUCAUGAGCUGUGUGGGGAUCAAGGCGGGGCCAGUGAAAAGACAGACUGAGGCCCACCCAAACAGAGGGACCACGUGGGGUCUGCCCGCCCUGUGCGCUCAGUGCCCACGGUUCACCCCCAGCCCAGGGCAGGCUCCCCACACCUGCACUCUCGCAUCGCUCAGGGCUGAGGGGCACUCGGUUCCUGUGUGGCAGCUCCCGACAUCGUGUGGUGGUGGUGCACGCUGUCCGGGGCUGUGGAGGCACAACCCUCAGAGAGCUGGUCCCCCGCCCCGCGCUGCAGCCUGAGUCCUGGGGGAGGAGGGCUUGCACACAACCUGUGUAGGGGUGUGCAAGGGGCGUCCGGGGAGGCUGUGGGAUCCACGUGUCCCCAAAGAUGGUGGCAGCAGGAUGGGAGCAGAGGUGAGCUGGGGCUAGAGCGACUGAAAUGAUACUUGGGUUUCAGCAAAGAUAGGUCAGAGCCCUGGGCCAGGUCUUGGUGCCUCAGGGUGGGACUGAAAGAGACAGGCUGCAGCCACUUCCUGGGCCCGUGGAGCAGGACAGACAUCCAGAGAAUGAGUGGGGGUCUUUGGUGGCAAAGCCCCAGCUUGCCCCCGCCCUGGGCCUCUCCCUCACAGCCGCCUCUGUCUUCCAGGAAGCCGAGCAGGUGCCAGCUGCUCAAACUGCCCUUCUCCACGUCACAGACCCCUGGGAACUACACCACCUGUAAGUGGCCCCUGGUGGCCACGCGGGCCCUGGCACCUCCCCACAGGACGGCACAGCCUGGAGUCUGCCUGGGUCCCCCAUGCCAUCCACUCAGCUCUCACUGUCCCCUGGGAACCUGACUCCUGCCCUGGGGAGGGAGCGUUCCACCUUCAGUGCCCAGUCCCCAGCCAUCCCAGAUGGUCCCAAAUGCUGGUCACAUGCUCUGAGACUCUCCCCGUCCAAGGGCUAACUUCCCUGAAUCUCCCAGAUCCUGGAUGCCUCCUGACGGCUGAGCUCCCUCCACACCUCCUCCAGGCAUCGAGAAGGUGGGGCUGUGGCCUCCCUUGAGGUCCCAAACCCCACAGUCCAAGCCCUCCGUGACCAGUUUCCUUCCAGGGUGGAAACAUCUGAUCUUCAUCUGGCUGCUCACGCCCAGGAGCUACGGGGUCGCCUACUUUGAAGACAAGAUGAAUAACCAGGAAAUAAACAUGAUGAUGCUCUUCAGUACGCACCCUGGGCAGGGCCAGCGGGAGCGUGCAGUGUUCAUGCACCGUGUGUGCCUGCCUGUGUGCACCUGCAGGGCACAUGCCUGUAGGCAUGUAGAAGUCACAUGUGUGUGCACAUGUGUGAGCCUGUGUGUAAAUGUACAUGUAUGAGUGUGUGCAGGGUGAACCUGCAUUGUCCACUGCUCACGGUCACUUCCACACUGACCCGGCGCCAUCUGUCUGACAUUGCGUCCUCCUUCAGCCUUCCCCUCCUCAACCCUGGCCCACCCUACACAAGUGGCAAUCUCAUGUGGCUGUCCUUGGGACUCUGCCCCUGCACUCUGCUCCCUGCUGGCCCUGGGCAGGGGAAGACCCCGUGUGGGAGGACGGGGUACCCAGGUGUGAGACAGGGAGAAGCCAGAGCGGCGGGAGGGCUGCUUCCACUUUCAGAUGCCGACUGAAGGUGGGGCAGAUAGCGAGGCCCCUGCGCCCUCCAGGUGCCCGGAGCCGUCAGAGUCCACAUGCAGGAGGGGUGCCCCCGGCCCCUGCCCCACCCCCUGUGGACGCCCCACCUUCCACGCCCACCCUCACCCCGCCUCCCUGCAGGCCGCACCCUGGAUGAAGACCCGGGGGCCCUGAGCCUGUUCCAGGAGUUUGUGAAGAGGAAAGGCCUGAACGAGACAGAGAUCACCGCCCCUCCGCAGGCUGGUAACCAGGGCUCUCCCUCUGGCUCCUCCCUUCACCGCGGUCUCCACUCUCCUGGGAGGGGCCUUUGGGUCUCCUUCCUCCUGUGAGGUGGUGACCACCCGUCCCUGUCCCUUGUCUCUCUCUGGGUCUGCAGAAGCCUGUGAGUUGCCCAGAGAGUCCUAGAGCAGCAGGGGGCUGAGAGCACCCAGGAGGGGCCUGGGGAGCCGGGCAGAACUCCCAAGGUGGAAGACCUGCUCAGCCAGGGCCCUGCACCUGCCCUGAGGUCACCCUCACUGUCUUAAUCAGUAAAAGCGAUUCUUCCCAGGCGAGAGGUGGUCUGGCUGAGCCAGCCUCAUUUCUAUCCAAGCCUCCCUGCCCAGUGAGACUCCCCCGGCCUGUCUCUGCCCUCUCUGGAUGUGUGCAGAGUCAGGUCCAGCGCAGACUGCCCCUGGUGGGCACUGAGACUGCCCCUGGCGGGCACUGUCCCCUGGGAAUCUGGCUCUAUGCAGGGGUCUGCCCAAGCAGAGCUGGCCUGGAGGUCAGGAGCCCCACACUGGCCGAGGCACAUCCCGUCCCCUCUCAGACCACUGGCCUCCCCCUGGCCGGUCAUUCCUCUACCAUCUCAUGUGUUCACCACACAGGACUCCACCCAAACACCAUUGCAAUGGCUUUGCCUUCUCUUGACUCUUCUGUAUGAGGCUCGAGGUUUCUGGAUUAUCCCAAGGUCUUUUUCCUUACUGGUUUUCUUCUUAUUUGUAGUAGCUCAUAAUUGAAUUUGUCUCUGCAGUUACAGACCCAUAGGUAUGAAUUACACAUUGAUCUGCUCUUUGUUACC